RNAcentral lists this ribosomal RNA (497 nucleotides) under uncultured bacterium. RNAcentral's name for it is "partial 16S ribosomal RNA". It matches the Rfam family "Bacterial small subunit ribosomal RNA", at positions 28 to 507 of the family's 1533-position model. The record is from RNAcentral.
GACGAACGCUGGCGGCGUGCCUAAUACAUGCAAGUUGAGCGCUGAAGGUUGGUACUUGUACCGACUGGAUGAGCAGCGAACGGGUGAGUAACGCGUGGGGAAUCUGCCUUUGAGCGGGGGACAACAUUUGGAAACGAAUGCUAAUACCGCAUAAAAACUUUAAACACAAGUUUUAAGUUUGAAAGAUGCAAUUGCAUCACUCAAAGAUGAUCCCGCGUUGUAUUAGCUAGUUGGUGAGGUAAAGGCUCACCAAGGCGAUGAUACAUAGCCGACCUGAGAGGGUGAUCGGCCACAUUGGGACUGAGACACGGCCCAAACUCCUACGGGAGGCAGCAGUAGGGAAUCUUCGGCAAUGGACGAAAGUCUGAGCGAGCAACGCCGCGUGAGUGAAGAAGGUUUUCGGAUCGUAAAACUCUGUUGGUAGAGAAGAACGUUGGUGAGAGUGGAAAGCUCAUCAAGUGACGGUAACUACCCAGAAAGGGACGGCUAACUACGUG